This 879-nucleotide ribosomal RNA is filed under the name uncultured bacterium. RNAcentral describes it as "bacterial SSU rRNA". It matches the Rfam family "Bacterial small subunit ribosomal RNA", at positions 11 to 862 of the family's 1533-position model. The record is from RNAcentral.
GUUUGAUCAUGGCUCAGAACGAACGCUGGCGGCGUGGAUAAGACAUGCAAGUCGAACGAUCACUCAAGGGUAGCAAUAUUUUUGAGUGGGAGUGGCGCAAGGGUGCGUAACACGUGGGUAAUUUGCCGCGAAGUUGGGGAUAACUCGCUGAAAGGCGAGCUAAUACCGGAUGUGAUCAUUUGGUGGCAUCAUUGGGUGAUCAAAGUUGGGGACCGCAAGGCCUGACGCUUCGCGAUAAGCCCGCGGCCUAUCAGCUAGUUGGUGAGGUAACGGCUCACCAAGGCCAAGACGGGUAGCUGGUCUGAGAGGACGGCCAGCCACACUGGAACUGAGAGACGGUCCAGACACCUACGGGUGGCAGCAGUCGAGAAUUUUUCUCAAUGGGGGAAACCCUGAAGGAGCGACGCCGCGUGGGGGAUGAAGGGCUUCGGCCUGUAAACCCCUGUCAUUUGCGAACAAACCUCAUUCAUGAACAAUGGGUGAGCUGAUUGUAGCGAAAGAGGAAGGGACGGCUAACUCUGUGCCAGCAGCCGCGGUAAUACAGAGGUCCCAAGCGUUGUUCGGAUUCACUGGGCGUAAAGGGUGCGUAGGCGGCCGGGUAAGUCUGGUGUGAAAGUUCGCAGCUCAACUGCGAAAAGUCAUUGGAUACUCUCCGGCUGGAGGAAUGGAGGGGGGACUGGAAUACUUGGUGUAGCAGUGAAAUGCGUAGAUAUCAAGUGGAACACCAGUGGCGAAGGCGAGUCCCUGGACAUUUCCUGACGCUGAGGCACGAAAGCUAGGGGAGGCAACAGGAUUAGAUACCCUGGUAGUCCUAGCCGUAAACGGUGCUUGCUUGCUGUAAGAGGAAUCGACCUCUUUUGUGGCGAAGCUAACGCGAUA